CCACGGGUGAGUAACACGUAUCCAACCUGCCGUCUACUCUUGGACAGCCUUCUGAAAGGAAAGAUAAUACAAGAUGGCAUCAUGAGUCCGCAUGUUCACAUGAUUAAAGGUAUUCCGGUAGACGAUGGGGAUGCGUUCCAUUAGAUAGUAGGCGGGGUAACGGCCCACCUAGUCUUCGAUGGAUAGGGGUUCUGAGAGGAAGGUCCCCCACAUUGGAACUGAGACACGGUCCAA
RNAcentral lists this ribosomal RNA (234 nucleotides) under uncultured bacterium. RNAcentral describes it as "partial 16S ribosomal RNA". It matches the Rfam family "Bacterial small subunit ribosomal RNA", at positions 102 to 334 of the family's 1533-position model. The record is from RNAcentral.